AAACAUCGGGAAGGGAUCUUUGUAAUACACCAACCAACCAACCAGUGGGCAGGAGCACCGAGGGGCCACAAAAUGUUGAAACCCACAGUUGUAGGAUAUCAUUUAUACAACAACUGAACCAGUAUGUGUUGUAAUAAUAACACUGUGUAGUAUGAUCUUCAUCCUUGGGUAGCAACUGUUGGUUCCUCUUUGCUUACCCCUUAGAAAGUAUGAAAAAUGGCUCAUAUUUCCUUAAAACUUUGCUUUCACUCAAACCCCAAAGAAUCCCUCUCAACACAUGGCUAUGAUGCUCCCCCAAUACUCCUG
Long non-coding RNA from Octopus sinensis (East Asian common octopus), 306 nucleotides. RefSeq lists it as uncharacterized. The transcript has 3 exons. The record is from RefSeq and is a predicted model, not a curated record. NCBI's taxonomy places the organism in Eukaryota, Metazoa, Mollusca, Cephalopoda, Octopoda, Octopodidae.